Molecule: long non-coding RNA, 864 nt
Organism: Brassica rapa (field mustard)
Lineage: Eukaryota; Viridiplantae; Streptophyta; Magnoliopsida; Brassicales; Brassicaceae
Source: RefSeq, a predicted model, not a curated record
AGGCUAUCCAGCUCAGCAAGAAGGCUGGGGCGUUUUCCGCCACGUGGCUUCACCCAAACAAAUGCAAAUUCGCUUCUCCUCUACGUUUGGUGGGCUUCUGCCGAGAUUUCGUUUUUGUUGCGUUGAUUUUUUUUUUUUCUGGUUCUUGAACUUAUGUGGGCUUGAAGGAAAAAAUGAGAAGCCCAUACUAAUUAGGUUUAAUCGCCUUCUUCUCUACCACAUUCUACGCCUCUCUCUCUCUCUUUUUUUUUUGGCUCUCUGCAACUUAACGUCUUCAGCCCCAGGAAUGUGAAGAAAGGCGGUGAGCCUUGACAUGCCACUGAUUGAUGAGAAUUCAACACUUGUGCAAGGAUCCUUGAGUGCAAACCGUCUUCUCAGAUUCAGACAGCGUUUCAGCUAAGGCUCUGUGUACACGUUAAGCUGUUUUGACGUAACGCGCAGUAACAACAAUUUCCGGUUGACUGAUGCCCUCCUCUUCAUACGGUUCAAUGAUGGAACCUCUUUUGAAAAUCUCACAGAUUCCAAUAAAGUCAUACCCACUGAACUUUUUCGGUUCCGACGUGCACUGGCAAACACCAACAAACAAUUUCCUGACAUUAUUGGUGAGCUAAGUGCAAUAAGGAGCACCAUCAACGACAAUCUUCCUGGUGCAAAACGCAUAAUGCUUACUUUGCGUCUUGAUAGUGCUGUUAAAGUCUGGGUUAGUAUGUUUGACUCUUUGGCUAUUGCAUUCCACGAAAAAUUUUAGAGCUAUGGGUCAGAGCCAAAAAUUGUGCUUGUCACGAGCAUAAAUCAUGAGCAUAUGUUUUCUCAGGCCGGCAAUAUUACUGUUUUCUCAGAAGCAGUAAAAAAAGUGUUUGACAG